GAUGAACGCUGGCGGCGUGCCUAAUACAUGCCAGUCGAGCGAACAGAUGAGGAGCUUGCUCCUCUGACGUUAGCGGCGGACGGGUGAGUAACACGUGGAUAACCUACCUAUAAGACUGGGAUAACUUCGGGAAACCGGAGCUAAUACCGGAUAAUAUAUUGAACCGCAUGGUUCAAUAGUGAAAGACGGUUUUGCUGUCACUUAUAGAUGGAUCCGCGCCGCAUUAGCUAGUUGGUAAGGUAACGGCUUACCAAGGCAACGAUGCGUAGCCGACCUGAGAGGGUGAUCGGCCACACUGGAACUGAGGCACGGUCCAGACUCCGACGGGAGGCAGCAGUAGGGAAUCUUCCGCAAUGGGCGAAAGCCUGACGGAGCAACGCCGCGUGAGUGAUGAAGGUCUUCGGAUCGUAAAACUCUGUUAUUAGGGAAGAACAAAUGUGUAAGUAACUAUGCACGUCUUGACGGUACCUAAUCAGAAAGCCACGGCUAACUACGUG
This 497-nucleotide ribosomal RNA is filed under the name uncultured bacterium. RNAcentral describes it as "partial 16S ribosomal RNA". It matches the Rfam family "Bacterial small subunit ribosomal RNA", at positions 28 to 507 of the family's 1533-position model. The record is from RNAcentral.